GAGGUGUUACACAGCUCUCUUUUUAAUUCAUAAAUUUUGGUCCUAUUGGCAGUGCCAUAGCGAGCCUGAAGUUGUGACCAUAUGCUUUGAGCAAUAUCAGAAUAAUGCACGGACUCAGCAAUCGCAUGAGAAAUAGAAGCAGUUAGCCAUGAGAUUACCAUACUAUUACACCUGUCCCAUAAUCACUGUUGAACCGCAUUAGUGGCUGGUCGAGGACAGGUUCCAUCUAUGAAACCAAUUUUAUUUUUAGCAGUCA
This 256-nucleotide long non-coding RNA is filed under the name Nicotiana benthamiana. Its description in RNAcentral is "long non-coding RNA (NBEN_LNC001340)". The record is from RNAcentral. Lineage: Eukaryota; Viridiplantae; Streptophyta; Magnoliopsida; Solanales; Solanaceae.